GAUGAACGCUAGCGGCAGGCCUAAUACAUGCAAGUCGAACGAGAUUAAGAGGCUUGCUUCUUAUGAAAGUGGCGCACGGGUGCGUAACGCGUAUGCAACCUACCUUAAUCAGGGGGAUAGCCCGAAGAAAUUCGGAUUAAGACCGCAUAAAAACGCAGGAUAGCAUUAUCCAAUGUUCAAAUAUUUAUAGGAUUAAGAUGGGCAUGCGUGUCAUUAGCUAGUUGGCGGGGUAACGGCCCACCAAGGCGACGAUGACUAGGGGAUCUGAGAGGAUGACCCCCCACACUGGUACUGAGACACGGACCAGACUCCUACGGGAGGCAGCAGUAAGGAAUAUUGGUCAAUGGAGGGAACUCUGAACCAGCCAUGCCGCGUGCAGGAAGACAGCCCUCUGGGUCGUAAACUGCUUUUAUUCGGGAAUAAACCUUUCUACGUGUAGGAAGCUGAAUGUACCGAAGGAAUAAGGAUCGGCUAACUCCGUG
This 482-nucleotide ribosomal RNA is filed under the name uncultured bacterium. RNAcentral describes it as "partial 16S ribosomal RNA". It matches the Rfam family "Bacterial small subunit ribosomal RNA", at positions 28 to 507 of the family's 1533-position model. The record is from RNAcentral.